Molecule: non-coding RNA, 252 nt
Filed under: Neobacillus bataviensis
Lineage: Bacteria; Bacillati; Bacillota; Bacilli; Caryophanales; Bacillaceae
Description: Bacillus bataviensis T-box sequence
Rfam family: T-box leader
About the family: Uncharged tRNA acts as the effector for transcription antitermination of genes in the T-box leader family.
Source: RNAcentral
AGUAAAUCGUUGAGCAAGAGGAGUACACAUAUUUGAUUCUUUCCAGGGAGUCGGGGCAGGUGGGAACCGAUAAGAUAAGAUUUGUGGAAUGGACUUGCGAGAGGCAUCUUGAACCUGUAGUAGGGAUGCACGGAGUUCCACCGUUAAAAGGAUAGGAUAUCGAACGACAUUGUUUCUGUAUCCGAAAGAGGAAGCAGAUUUUUUCUGUUUCAAAUUUGAGGUGGCACCACGGUCAACAGAAUCGUCCUCUAU